This is a long non-coding RNA of Neofelis nebulosa (Clouded leopard), 287 nucleotides long. RefSeq lists it as uncharacterized. The record is from RefSeq and is a predicted model, not a curated record. The transcript is spliced from 2 exons. Lineage: Eukaryota; Metazoa; Chordata; Mammalia; Carnivora; Felidae.
AGAGAGAAGCCCAAGCAGGCUCUGCACUGUCAGCAUGGAGCCUGGUGUGGGGCCCGAACCCAUGAACCAUGAGAUCAUGACCUGAGCUGAAACCAAGAGUCUGACGCUUAACUGACUGAGCCGCCCAGAUGCCCCUGGAACGUCAUACUUGAGAGACCUGCAUAGACUCAGCGUCUUCCUGCCUGUUGCCAAGACUCCUUCAUGCCAUAACUUCCAGCCUUCAGAUGACCCUUUCUACUCAAGGAAAUUCGUUUAUGUUUCUACCUUGGAUUCAGCGGAUACAUCUU